Molecule: transfer RNA, 84 nt
Filed under: Lachnospiraceae bacterium
Lineage: Bacteria; Bacillati; Bacillota; Clostridia; Lachnospirales; Lachnospiraceae
Description: tRNA-Leu
Rfam family: tRNA
About the family: Transfer RNA (tRNA) molecules are approximately 80 nucleotides in length.
Source: RNAcentral
GCAGAAGUGGCGGAAUUGGCAGACGCGCACGGUUCAGGUCCGUGUGGUGGUAACACCCUGAGGGUUCGACUCCCUUCUUCUGCA